Molecule: ribosomal RNA, 796 nt
Filed under: Bacillus subtilis
Lineage: Bacteria; Bacillati; Bacillota; Bacilli; Caryophanales; Bacillaceae
Description: bacterial SSU rRNA
Rfam family: Bacterial small subunit ribosomal RNA
Source: RNAcentral
UCAUGCAGGGGGGGUUUAUAUAUAUGGGGUUUUUCCCGUCAGGACGAACGCUGGCGGCGUGCCUAAUACAUGCAAGUCGAGCGGACAGAUGGGAGCUUGCUCCCUGAUGUUAGCGGCGGACGGGUGAGUAACACGUGGGUAACCUGCCUGUAAGACUGGGAUAACUCCGGGAAACCGGGGCUAAUACCGGAUGGUUGUUUGAACCGCAUGGUUCAAACAUAAAAGGUGGCUUCGGCUACCACUUACAGAUGGACCCGCGGCGCAUUAGCUAGUUGGUGAGGUAACGGCUCACCAAGGCAACGAUGCGUAGCCGACCUGAGAGGGUGAUCGGCCACACUGGGACUGAGACACGGCCCAGACUCCUACGGGAGGCAGCAGUAGGGAAUCUUCCGCAAUGGACGAAAGUCUGACGGAGCAACGCCGCGUGAGUGAUGAAGGUUUUCGGAUCGUAAAGCUCUGUUGUUAGGGAAGAACAAGUACCGUUCGAAUAGGGCGGUACCUUGACGGUACCUAACCAGAAAGCCACGGCUAACUACGUGCCAGCAGCCGCGGUAAUACGUAGGUGGCAAGCGUUGUCCGGAAUUAUUGGGCGUAAAGGGCUCGCAGGCGGUUUCUUAAGUCUGAUGUGAAAGCCCCCGGCUCAACCGGGGAGGGUCAUUGGAAACUGGGGAACUUGAGUGCAGAAGAGGAGAGUGGAAUUCCACGUGUAGCGGUGAAAUGCGUAGAGAUGUGGAGGAACACCAGUGGCGAAGGCGACUCUCUGGUCUGUAACUGACGCUGAGAGCGAAAAGACGCC